RNAcentral lists this ribosomal RNA (253 nucleotides) under uncultured bacterium. RNAcentral's name for it is "partial 16S ribosomal RNA". It matches the Rfam family "Bacterial small subunit ribosomal RNA", at positions 524 to 776 of the family's 1533-position model. The record is from RNAcentral.
UACGUAGGGGGCAAGCGUUAUCCGGAUUUACUGGGUGUAAAGGGAGCGUAGACGGCGGUGCAAGUCUGAUGUGAAAGCCCGGGGCUCAACCCCGGGACUGCAUUGGAAACUGUACGGCUGGAGUGCAGGAGAGGUAAGUGGAAUUCCAUGUGUAGCGGUGAAAUGCGUAGAUAUAUGGAGGAACACCAGUGGCGAAGGCGACGAUCUGGACUGAAACUGACGCUGAGGCUCGAAAGCGUGGGGAGCAAACAGG